AAUGAACGCUGGCGGCGUGCCUAACACAUGCAAGUCGGAUGUGCCGCAAGGUGCAUGGCAGACGGGUGAGUAACGCGUGGGGAACCUACCUCUUCGUGGGGAAUAACGAUCCGAAAGGAUUGGUAAUACCGCAUGAGACCGACGGCUGGGAUGCUGUCGGUGAAAGCUGGGGACCGGAAACGGCCUGGCGCGAGGAGAGGGUCCUGCGUCUGAUUAGCUAGUUGGUGGGGUAACGCCUACCAAGGCAUCGAUCAGUAGCCGGCCUGAGAGGGUGAUCGGCCACACUGGAACUGAGACACGGUCCAGACUCCUACGGGAGGCAGCAGUGGGGAAUUUUGCGCAAUGGACGAAAGUCUGACGCAGCAACGCCGCGUGGGUGAUGAAGGUCUUCGGAUUGUAAAACCCUGUCGUCGGGGACGAAGGUAGGAGGGUUAAUAGCCUUUUGCUUGACGGUACCCGGAGAGGAAGCCCCGGCUAACUCUGUGCCAGCAGCCG
Molecule: ribosomal RNA, 495 nt
Filed under: uncultured bacterium
Lineage: Bacteria
Description: bacterial SSU rRNA
Rfam family: Bacterial small subunit ribosomal RNA
Source: RNAcentral